This is a long non-coding RNA of Belonocnema kinseyi, 635 nucleotides long. RefSeq lists it as uncharacterized. NCBI's taxonomy places the organism in Eukaryota, Metazoa, Arthropoda, Insecta, Hymenoptera, Cynipidae. The record is from RefSeq and is a predicted model, not a curated record. The transcript has 3 exons.
UCGAAUAUCUAAUUAAUUUAUGUUCAAAAAGUGAAAUUUGAGUGAUAAGUGGUCCUUUUACAAUGAUGCAUUUUCAUGCAAAGAAAAAAAAUUCAAGUGUUCACGUGACAAGUGGAAGAGGAAUAAUAUUGUAAGCAUAUUUUGGUUGGAAACCAAAUGACUGCUAGAAAUCACAACAACAAAAAAAAGAAUGGAAAAGAUAUUUGCCUAACACAUAAAUUGAAAGAUUAAAAUCUGUAUGGAUUUCAAACAGGAAAAUGCUUAAAAAGGGAACGGAGGAGCAGCCCUUGCAGAGCCUAGUUUGAGCCAGGUUUUGAAAGGUAGCAAAGUGAAAUCGAUGAACAGACUCUUCCUUAAAGGGCCCAACGGGAAGUUCACCUUUCAAAUGGCAACACUGGCACCUCUAUUGACAGAGGCCAUUUACUUUUGCAGUCCAUAGCAUAGCUGACAGGUGCUUAAUUGGAGAAUGUUUUUCCUGCAGUGUUUCCCAAUCAGACUGGAAGGAAACCGAAAAAUAAAAGGAUUUAAAGAAUGGAAAUCGAAAAAGAAAAGGUACUUAAUUGCUGCUUUUCAACAUUCCUGGCUAUCACCUCUGAUCGUUCACUUAAAUUAUCAGAUAAGUAAUUUCCAUUAAU